Molecule: ribosomal RNA, 303 nt
Filed under: uncultured bacterium
Lineage: Bacteria
Description: partial 16S ribosomal RNA
Rfam family: Bacterial small subunit ribosomal RNA
Source: RNAcentral
AGCAGCCGCCACGGGAAUACGUAGGUGGCAAGCGUUGUCCGGAAUUAUUGGGCAUAAAGGGCUCGCAGGCGGUUUCUUAAGUCUGAUGUGAAAGCCCCCGGCUCAACCGGGGAGGGUCAUUGGAAACUGGGGAACUUGAGUGCAGAAGAGGAGAGUGGAAUUCCACGUGUAGCGGUGAAAUGCGUAGAGAUGUGGAGGAACACCAGUGGCGAAGGCGACUCUCUGGUCUGUAACUGACGCUGAGAAGCGAAAGCGUGGGGAGCGAACAGGAUUAGAUACCCCGGUAGUCCCUGUCUCUUAUAA